AACGAACGCUGGCGGCAUGCCUAACACAUGCAAGUCGAACGAGACCUUCGGGUCUAGUGGCGCACGGGUGCGUAACGCGUGGGAACCUGCCCUUAGGUUCGGAAUAACUCCCCGAAAGGGGUGCUAAUACCGGAUAAUGUCUUCGGACCAAAGAUUUAUCGCCUUUGGAUGGGCCCGCGUUGGAUUAGCUAGUUGGUAGGGUAAAAGCCUACCAAGGCGACGAUCCAUAGCUGGUCUGAGAGGAUGAUCAGCCACACUGGGACUGAGACACGGCCCAGACUCCUACGGGAUGGGGCAGUGGGGAAUAUUGCACAGUGGGCGAAGGCCUGAUCCAGCAAUGCCGCGUGAGUGAUGAAGGCCUUAAGGUAGUAAAGCUCUUUUACCCGGGAUGAUAAUGACAGUACCGGGAGAAUAAGCUCCGGCUAACUCCGUG
This 433-nucleotide ribosomal RNA is filed under the name uncultured bacterium. Its description in RNAcentral is "partial 16S ribosomal RNA". It matches the Rfam family "Bacterial small subunit ribosomal RNA", at positions 29 to 507 of the family's 1533-position model. The record is from RNAcentral.